CCGGUGCAACUCGUCCAGUUGAACUCGCAGCGGUUGAUCGGUAACGAUUAAAAACAAACAGGUGUGUGCGAUGACAAACACCAGGAUGCAAAGGACAGCAGCGGUGAAGCCUGGCCAGGCUCUGCUCAGACCUCCUUGAUGCUCAAGUAUGACUGAAAUGAAAUAAAAGGAGUGGUUCGACUGCUGCCGAAUGCAGAAGUCUGUCAUGACGAAGUCUCUGGUAGUUGAAAGCCCCUCCUGGAGCUGCCACCUUACCACGCUGGAGGGGUUUGCGUGUUCCAAUGAUCCCAGGAGCUAUGUUGUUGGAGGCUUCGUGCCCCUGGUAGGGUCACCCAUGGCAAUCAGGUCCUAGGUGAGGGUGCAGAAAAGGAAAACUCAACCCCAAUGAGCCAUGUCUCCCUUGCCCGGACAAGGGUCACCGGGGCCCCCAACCUGGAGCCAGGCCUGGGGGAGGGGCUCGUUGGCGAGCGCCUGGUGGCCGGGCCUUCACCCAUGGGGCCUGGCCGGGCACAGCCCGAAAGGGUGACAUGGAUCCACCACCCAUGAGAGGGGUCGCAGGGGGCAUGUGCUGAGAGAGUUGGGCGACAGUCAGAGGCGCGGAGGGAAUUCUGGGCUUCCCUGCUGAAGCUGCUGCCCCUGCGACCCGACCUCGGAUAAGCGGGAGAAGACGAACGGACGUUCUUCACAGCUUCCAUUCGGCCUCUGUGAAGAGAGUCGAGUGGUGAUCACGUGGAUCCAUGUUGAAACCAGUGUAUACUGUAAACAUCAGGGUGUCGGCAACAUGACUGUAGAGUUGUAGACUGUCAUCCACUGUGACCGGUUGAGUUAAAGAUGGAGAGACAAAUGUACACUUGAAAUAAACAUCACUGUUGAAAUAAACAUCACUGUUGAAAUAAACAUCACUGUAAACAUG
Molecule: long non-coding RNA, 913 nt
Organism: Larimichthys crocea (large yellow croaker)
Lineage: Eukaryota; Metazoa; Chordata; Actinopteri; Sciaenidae
Exons: 5
Source: RefSeq, a predicted model, not a curated record